AACCAGGCUGGUCUCGAACUCACAGA
This 26-nucleotide non-coding RNA is filed under the name Cricetulus griseus (Chinese hamster). Lineage: Eukaryota; Metazoa; Chordata; Mammalia; Rodentia; Cricetidae. The record is from RNAcentral.